GCAGUAGACAUAAUAUACACGACUGCGAAGGCAGUGAAGUUGGAGUGAACAUGGCACACCUGAACUUGCUCAUGGGGAGAUUUGAACACAACAUAUAUGACAUGCAGAAGAACUUGAGAUGCCAAAGUCGUUCGCACAUGCCCUUUUCCAUUUUGUAGAUUGUGAGGAAAUCAUUGGGUAACUCAAAAUUUUCCAACAAGCCACGGUAAUCUUAGAUUAGAAAACACGCUAAAGCAGCCCAAAAUGCGACAAUUGCAAGAAUCCCGGGGCCUUGUAACCGAGGGCUAGCAUUUGGUAACCAUGGAUAUGCAUCAGGAGGUGGCAUGACACAGUUAUCACCGUUG
This 344-nucleotide unclassified non-coding RNA is filed under the name Hevea brasiliensis (rubber tree). Lineage: Eukaryota; Viridiplantae; Streptophyta; Magnoliopsida; Malpighiales; Euphorbiaceae. The record is from RNAcentral.